AGCGGCGGACGGGUGAGUAACACGUGGGCAACCUGCCCCUCAGACAGGGAUAACGCCUGGAAACGGGUGCUAAUCCCCGAUGGGUUCUUCUUUCGCAUGAGAGAAGAAGGAAAGGCGCUACGGCGUCACUGAGGGAGGGGCCCGCGGCGCAUUAGCUGGUUGGUGAGGUAACGGCCCACCAAGGCGACGAUGCGUAGCCGACCUGAGAGGGUGACCGGCCACACUGGGACUGAGACACGGCCCAGACUCCUACGGGAGGCAGCAGUAGGGAAUCUUCCGCAAUGGGCGCAAGCCUGACGGAGCAACGCCGUGUGAGUGAAGACGGUCUUCGGAUUGUAAAGCUCUGUCAUCCGGGGAGAGCGGCCAGGAGAGGGAAUGCUUCUGGCGAGACGGUACCGAAGGAGGAAGCCCCGGCUAACUACGUGCCUGCAGCCGCGGUAAUACGUAGGGGGCAAGCGUUGUCCGGAAUGACUGGGCGUAAAGCGCGCGCAGGCGGUUUUUCACGUCUGGGGUGAAAGCCCGGGGCUCAACCCUGGGAUGGCCUUGGAAACGGGAAGACUUGAGGGUCGGAGAGGUCAGGGGAAUUCCACGUGUAGCGGUGAAAUGCGUAGAGAUGUGGAGGAAUACCAGUGGCGAAGGCGCCUGACUGGACGAAACC
RNAcentral lists this ribosomal RNA (658 nucleotides) under uncultured bacterium. RNAcentral's name for it is "bacterial SSU rRNA". It matches the Rfam family "Bacterial small subunit ribosomal RNA", at positions 94 to 740 of the family's 1533-position model. The record is from RNAcentral.